Long non-coding RNA from Pieris napi, 567 nucleotides. RefSeq lists it as uncharacterized. Lineage: Eukaryota; Metazoa; Arthropoda; Insecta; Lepidoptera; Pieridae. The record is from RefSeq and is a predicted model, not a curated record. The transcript is spliced from 2 exons.
GUCCUAUAACCACUCUCACGUACGUGGAUACUACAGUAUCCAAAACAACAAUGGCGGCAUCCGUACAUGGAUACUACAGUAUCCAAAACGACAAGUUUAAGAAAAUGACAUCUAGUUAAAACUGAGCUUAGAAAUAAACGUUUUUAUCGACGUAGAAUGAUAGCUUAGGAAACAGUUCACCCAAUAAACUACAGAUGGCAAUGAAAUAUGAUUAGUUCUCUGUAAAAAAAAUUCCAAACUCAAGUGACUCGUUCUAGUGAAUUUUGUGAACAAGUGUUUCGGAGUUUCAGCAAUUAUGUCGUUUAUCGUUAUGGACAGUGCGGUAUCCACGGACGUUAGAACAAACGUCAUAAAUAAGGGUUUGUAGAAACGAAAAAAUAUGUUUGCAAUUUUUUGUUACGCAUGGUGUAAUGUGUUUAUUUAUGUCUCCUGAUUAUGAUAUGAUGAUGAUGGCCGUGGCAGUCGUGGAGACCGCGGGGGACGUGGAAACAGUGGAGAAACGGUGGAUUAUCAUUUACAACUCGAAAUCUUAUCAAAAAUGUCUCAUUAAAAUUUACAACACUGUUA